RNAcentral lists this ribosomal RNA (300 nucleotides) under Clostridium botulinum C/D str. DC5. RNAcentral describes it as "partial 23S ribosomal RNA". It matches the Rfam family "Bacterial large subunit ribosomal RNA", at positions 2629 to 2925 of the family's 2925-position model. Lineage: Bacteria; Bacillati; Bacillota; Clostridia; Eubacteriales; Clostridiaceae. The record is from RNAcentral.
GUUCGGUCCCUAUCCGCCGUGGGCGUAGGAAAUUUGAGAGGAGCUGUCCUUAGUACGAGAGGACCGGGAUGGACCAACCUCUGGUGCACCAGUUGUUCCGCCAGGAGCACAGCUGGGUAGCUAUGUUGGGAAGGGAUAAACGCUGAAAGCAUCUAAGCGUGAAGCCUACCUCAAGAUUAGAUUUCCCAUAGCGUAAGCUAGUAAGACCCCUGAAAGACUAUCAGGUUGAUAGGUUGGAGGUGUAAGUACAGUAAUGUAUUCAGCUGACCAAUACUAAUAGGUCGAGGGCUUGAUCAAAUU